GCCGUAAAGGUGGAUGAGUGGUGUUUGGUUUGUUACGUGUGGUUGGCUGCGGCGUUUGCAACAACUUCCAUGCUUUCAGACCUCUUCAGUUGUGCGGCAAGGCUUGUAUCGCCUUGAGCGUAUUGUGGGUUUUCUGUGUUGGCUACCUAAUCAAUGGUAUCGGUUGGAUUGAUCAAUGUUUCAUUUCGUCUUCCGUCGCAUUCGCGGCGUGAGAUGAACCUUGAUGCGGUCUCUUUGAUCCACCUCGUCGAAGCGCAUGCUUUGGCGUUGUGGCACAUUGAGCAUUGCUUGGUCUCUUGUAUACGGAACAUAUAGUGGGCAUGGAUCUAACGAUUCUCGUUUGCCCUCAUAUUAGCGUAACGCUUCUCUUACACGACUUGCACCACGUUUUAGCUCGUACGGACGUGGU
This 409-nucleotide unclassified non-coding RNA is filed under the name Artemisia vallesiaca. RNAcentral's name for it is "partial external transcribed spacer". Lineage: Eukaryota; Viridiplantae; Streptophyta; Magnoliopsida; Asterales; Asteraceae. The record is from RNAcentral.